This is a non-coding RNA of Pantherophis guttatus, 361 nucleotides long. Lineage: Eukaryota; Metazoa; Chordata; Lepidosauria; Squamata; Colubridae. The record is from RefSeq and is a predicted model, not a curated record.
ACUUGGCAUACUGGAAGUAUAUGCCCAGAUCCCAAAGGUCAUGUUGGUUGGAAAUUCUAGAAUUAUAGCUGCAGCACAAUGGAACAACACUCAGAUGGGGAAGACUGACACUCCUUGGCAAAGGACGUAGGUUAGAACAGAAAGAGGAGGAGAGAGUUUAUCCUCAUCCAGUAUUCCAGGAGUGGACAACCUGUAACUUGUGGACUGGCUGCAUGUGAUUCCUUAACUUUCUGAAGUGGCACCAUCUUUGGGCGCCACAUCUGCUGAUCCAACUUGCCAACCAGGACCUACCUUGUGGUGAAGCCUGGCCCUCCGGGGUAUGAACUGCGACUGUACAUCCCAGGUUGCACGUAACCUUUGC